RNAcentral lists this ribosomal RNA (301 nucleotides) under uncultured bacterium. RNAcentral's name for it is "partial 16S ribosomal RNA". It matches the Rfam family "Bacterial small subunit ribosomal RNA", at positions 509 to 809 of the family's 1533-position model. The record is from RNAcentral.
CAGUAGCCACGGUAACACGGAGGGUGCAAGCGUUAAUCGGAAUUACUGGGCGUAAAGCGCACGCAGGCGGUUUGUUAAGUCAGAUGUGAAAUCCCCGAGCUUAACUUGGGAGCUGCAUUUGAAACUGGCAAGCUAGAGUCUUGUAGAGGGGGGUAGAAUUCCAGGUGUAGCGGUGAAAUGCGUAGAGAUCUGGAGGAAUACCGGUGGCGAAGGCGGCCCCCUGGACAAAGACUGACGCUCAGGUGCGAAAGCGUGGGGAGCAAACAGGAUUAGAUACCCGCGUAGUCCCUGUCUCUUAUAA